Podarcis lilfordi (Lilford's wall lizard) is the source of this 72-nucleotide non-coding RNA. Lineage: Eukaryota; Metazoa; Chordata; Lepidosauria; Squamata; Lacertidae. The record is from the annotation of a GenBank genome assembly.
AGGGCUGUGGCUCAGUCUUAGAGCAUCUGCUUUGCAUGCAGAAGGUCCCAGGUUCAAUCCCUGGCAUUUCCA